RNAcentral lists this ribosomal RNA (638 nucleotides) under uncultured bacterium. RNAcentral's name for it is "bacterial SSU rRNA". It matches the Rfam family "Bacterial small subunit ribosomal RNA", at positions 43 to 674 of the family's 1533-position model. The record is from RNAcentral.
CAGGCCUAACACAUGCAAGUCGAACGAACCUUCGUUGAAGGGAAGUAGCUUGCUAUAGCCCUUCGAUAGAAGGUUAGUGGCGAACGGGUGAGUAAUACGUGGGUGACCUGCCCUGAAGAGGGGGAUAACCACUGGAAACGGUGGCUAAUACCCCAUGAGGUCACGAGGGUUAGAGGCCUCGUGAUUAAAGCUCCGGCGCUUUGGGAGGGGCUCAUGGCCUAUCAGCUUGUUGGUAGGGUAAUGGCCUACCAAGGCUAUGACGGGUAGCUGGUCUGAGAGGACGAUCAGCCACACUGGCACUGAGACACGGGCCAGACUCCUACGGGAGGCAGCAGUGAGGAAUAUUGCCCAAUGGACGAAAGUCUGAGGCAGCAACGCCGCGUGAGCGAUGAAGGCCUUCGGGUUGUAAAGCUCUUUUCUGGGGGAAGAGGAAGGACGGUACCCCAGGAAUAAGCCUCGGCUAACUACGUGCCAGCAGCCGCGGUAAAACGUAGGAGGCGAGCGUUAUCCGGAUUUACUGGGCGUAAAGCGCGUGCAGGCGGUCUGGUAAGUUGGAUGUGAAAUCUCCUGGCUCAACUGGGAGGGGUCAUUCAAUACUGCCAGACUUGAGGGCGGAAGAGGGAGGUGGAAUUCCCGGU